UACGGAGGGGGCUAGCGUUGUUCGGAAUUACUGGGCGUAAAGCGUGUGCAGACGGAGCAGCAAGUGGUGUAUGAAAUCGCGGUGCUUAACACAGCGAGGUUAUGCCAGACUGCUGGACUAGAGUGCGAGAGAGGGAGAUGGAAUUCCGGGUGUAGUGGUGAAAUGCGUAGAGAUCCGGAGGAACCCCAGAGGCGAAAGCGGUCUCCUGGCUCGCAACUGACGUUCAGACACGACAGCAUGGGGAGCGAACGGG
Molecule: ribosomal RNA, 253 nt
Filed under: uncultured bacterium
Lineage: Bacteria
Description: partial 16S ribosomal RNA
Rfam family: Bacterial small subunit ribosomal RNA
Source: RNAcentral